Long non-coding RNA from Macaca fascicularis (crab-eating macaque), 2916 nucleotides. NCBI's taxonomy places the organism in Eukaryota, Metazoa, Chordata, Mammalia, Primates, Cercopithecidae. The record is from Ensembl.
GGAGCACAGUGGCGCGAUCUCGGCUCACUGCAACCUCUGCCUCCCGGGUUCAUGCCAUUCUCCUGCCUCAGCCUCCCUAGUAGCUGGGACUACAGGUGCCUGCCACCACGCCCAGCUAAGUUUUGUAUUUUUAGUGGAAACAGGGUUUCACCGGAUUAGCCAGGAUGGUCUUGAUCUCCUGACUUUGUGAUCCGCCCGCCUCAGCCUCCCAAAGUGCUGGGAUUACAGGCGUGAGCCACCACGCCUGGCCGGAACUCUCCAUUUCUUAAGGUGAAGAGGGUCAAGGAUACCUAAAAAGGGGUCAAAUAAUGCUAGAAGAGCAAUUCUUCUUUCAGAGCAGUUGCUGUAAUUUGGCAAAUGCUUUAUCGAAGAUUGAUAUUAGGUUAGGGGCGGUGACUCAAUGCCUGUAAUCCCAGCACUUUAGGAGGCCAAGGUGGGUGGAUUGCCUGAGCUCAAGAGUUCGAGACCAGUCUGACCAGUAUGGUGAAACCCUGUCUCUACUAAAAAUACAAAAAUUAGCCGGUUGUGGUGUUGUGUACAUGUAGUCCCAGCUACUCAGGAGGUUGAGACAGGAGAAUCACUUGAAUCUGAGAAUCACUUGAAUCACAAUCUCUGGCUUGCAGUGAGCCAAGACCGCACCACUGCGCUCCUGCCUGGGCGACAGAGCGAGACUCAGUCUCAAAAAAAAAGAAAAAAGAAAAUUGACAUUUAUCAUUAUAACAGCUCUCUGAAGGCAUUUUUUUUAACAGUCAAGUACUGAUAUCAACAGACAAAUAUUUCUGAUCAGAUCGUCCCUGUCAACAGAGUAGCAAAUGUGGUUUCAUAAAGUGGGAAGAAAACAGCAUGUUAAAAUAACUUUUUGGGAGACUGAUUUGAGUAAUAAUAAAACUCUGGUCUCCCUUAGAAAAAACCCUUUCUUCCACCUUUACUGUGUCAUUUAUAUCCCCUUAGUUCAAAGUUGUUAUCUUAUUUCUGGAUAUUGCUUUUAUACCAAAGACCCUUAUCAGUCCUUGUAACUACAGUAUCUUUAGAUAAGAUUCCUCUUCCCAGGGAAAGAGGGAAUGUUUCUGUUGCAGAGUUAGGCAGUAGAUGGGAAGCUGUGAUGGCAGAGCUACUAUCUAAUAAAGUGACAACUCGUAGUUGAGGCUUCCUUUUUGUGUGUGAUGGGGGAUGGGGAAGUUAGCUCCCCUGUUGUCUCAGCACUAAGAAAUUGAGGUCAGGCCAGGCGCAGUGGCUCACUUCUGUUAUCCCAGCACUUGGGCGGCCAAAAUGGGCAGAUUGCUUGAGCUCAGGAGCUCAAGACCAGCCUGGGCAACAUGGCGAAACCCUGUUUCUACCAAAAAUACAAAAAAUAACUGGGCACGGUGGGUGCACGCUUGUUGUCCCAGCUACUCAGGAAGCUGAGGUGGGAGGAUUGCUUGAGCCUUGGAGGUGGAGGUUGCAGUGAGCUGAGAUGGCACCACUGCAAUCCAAGGUGGGUGACAGAGACCCUGUCUCAAAGAAAUUGAGGCCAGACUUCCUUCUAACAUGAUUAUUUUUUUCUCUGUAGUUUGCCUCAUUUUUUCACUUCCUUUUCAAUGAGAAUCGAAGUGUUUCUUUUGGGGUUUUUUCUUCCCCCUUUAAAAAUCAACAGGAAAUAUUUCAAAGGAUGGAUGAAAUGCUUGGCUUCCUCAGCACUUGGCAAGGUAGACCUCAUAGCAACCUCUGAAUAUGACUUUCUUUAGUCUCUAGCUGUGCACUAUUAAGUGCCUCUUGGGGUGGAGGUAGAGUAAGUAUUGAGUGCCAGUCUUGACCUCCAUAUGCCUCAGUUUUUCGUAUCUAUAAAAAGCAGUACACGUACCUACCCUUCUACCUCAUAGUUUGUUGCGGGGAUUCAAUAUGGGAGAGCAACUUUGAAGCCUGUUAAUAUCCUUGAAGAGAUCUAAGAACUAUUAUGCUCUUGGUGUACCAAGCUCUGGGUAUAUAUUCAGAAUACCUCAUGUUCUGGAAGCUGAGCACAAGCUCUCCUUUAUUGCCUGCCUGGCAGAGCCUGUUUGCUUACUGCAAGCCCUUUUACCCAUGCUUCUAGUUUAGGUAUUCUUUCUUUGAUAUGAGGCUCUUGACUAGAAAAGAGUUCUUUCUCUAGGUGUUCUGAGAGAAGUUUGUAAAUUUGGAUAGUACAUUCUAUCCUGAUAAAACCAUCUUGCUGUGGUCUUGAUGUACAAAACUUUUUUCUUUUCUUUUCUUUUCUUUUUUUUUUUGAGACAGUCUCAGUCUGUCGCCCAGGCUGGACUGCAGUGGCGUGAUCUUGGCUCACUGUAAGCCUCUUGGGUUCAAGCGAUUCUCCUGCCUCAGCCUCUCAAGUAGCUGGGACUACAGGCGUGCACCAUCACACCUGGCUAAUUUUUGUAUAUUUAGUAGAGAAAGGGUUUCACCAUGUUGGCGAGGCUGGUCUUGAACUCCUGACCUCAGGCGAUCUGCCUGUCUUGGCCUCCCAAAGUACUGAGAUUACAGGCGUGAGCCACCAUGCCUGGCCCAAAAUGUCUCUUUCUACGCACACUUGAGUAGGUGGCAUAAAAUGCACUGCCCAUAGAUAGAAAACAUGCAGUUUUCCAGAUGUCUCCGAUCAGAGAGUCACAAUCAAGAGCAGCAAAUGUGGUUUCAUAAAGUGGGAAGAAAGUGGCAAUUUAAAAUAACUUUUUGGGAGACUGAAUUGAGUAAUAAUAAAACUUCAGUCUCUCACACACACAAAAAAAAUAACCUUUCGAAUGUGGCCAGCUCACUAAAUGAGGAAAGAGGAAGGCAUUUUCUGCAUUCUUGCCUAGUUUUCUUUAUAAGCGCCAUGAAAUUAACAGCUGUCUUUUUGGUGUUUGCACUAUGUAAUGCUUUUAAUACUUUUUAAUUGUGCUUUUUUGUGUAUUAAAUGUUUUUCCUUUU